Molecule: ribosomal RNA, 279 nt
Filed under: uncultured bacterium
Lineage: Bacteria
Description: partial 16S ribosomal RNA
Rfam family: Bacterial small subunit ribosomal RNA
Source: RNAcentral
UGCCAGCCGCCGCGGUAAUACGGAGGGUGCGAGCGUUAAUCGGAAUUACUGGGCGUAAAGCGCGCGUAGGUGGUUUGUUAAGUCGGAUGUGAAAGCCCUGGGCUCAACCUGGGAAUUGCAUUCGAUACUGGCUAACUAGAGUGCGAGAGAGGGAGGUAGAAUUCCACGUGUAGCGGUGAAAUGCGUAGAUAUGUGGAGGAAUACCGGUGGCGAAGGCGGCCUCCUAGACUGAUAUUGACGCUGAGGUGCGAAAGCGUGGGGAGCAAACAGGAUUAGAUA